AUGAACGCUGGCGGCGUGCCUAAUACAUGCCAGUCGAGCGAACAGACGAGGAGCUUGCUCCUCUGAUGUUAGCGGCGGACGGGUGAGUAACACGUGGAUAACCUACCUAUAAGACUGGGAUAACUUCGGGAAACCGGAGCUAAUACCGGAUAACAUGUUGAACCGCAUGGUUCAACAGUGAAAGACGGUCUUGCUGUCACUUAUAGAUGGAUCCGCGCCGCAUUAGCUAGUUGGUAAGGUAACGGCUUACCAAGGCAACGAUGCGUAGCCGACCUGAGAGGGUGGUCGGCCACACGGGAACGGAGACACGGUCCAGACUCCUACGAGAGGCAGCAGUAGGGAAUCUUCCGCAAUGGGCGAAAGCCUGACGGAGCAACGCCGCGUGAGUGAAGAAGGUCUUCGGAUCGUAAAACUCUGUUAUUAGGGAAGAACAAAUGUGUAAGUAACUAUGCACGUCUUGACGGUACCUAAUCAGAAAGCCACGGCUAACUACGUG
RNAcentral lists this ribosomal RNA (496 nucleotides) under uncultured bacterium. RNAcentral's name for it is "partial 16S ribosomal RNA". It matches the Rfam family "Bacterial small subunit ribosomal RNA", at positions 29 to 507 of the family's 1533-position model. The record is from RNAcentral.